Molecule: ribosomal RNA, 223 nt
Filed under: uncultured bacterium
Lineage: Bacteria
Description: partial 16S ribosomal RNA
Rfam family: Bacterial small subunit ribosomal RNA
Source: RNAcentral
UACGGAGGGUGCAAGCGUUAAUCGGAAUUAUUGGGCGUAAAGAGCUCGUAGGCGGUCUGUCGCGUCGGCUGUGAAAACUUGGGGCUCAACCCCAAGCCUGCAGUCGAUACGGGCAGACUAGAGUGCGGUAGGGGAGACUGGAAUUCCUGGUGUAGCGGUGAAAUGCGCAGAUAUCAGGAGGAACACCGGUGGCGAAGGCGGGUCUCUGGGCAGUAACUGACGC